UGGUUUCGGUGCUGCUCAACUUCUUUGUU
RNAcentral lists this non-coding RNA (29 nucleotides) under Mus musculus (house mouse). Lineage: Eukaryota; Metazoa; Chordata; Mammalia; Rodentia; Muridae. The record is from RNAcentral.